GACGAACGCUGGCGGCGUGCUUAACACAUGCAAGUCGAACGGAAAGGCCCUGCUUUUGUGGGGUGCUCGAGUGGCGAACGGGUGAGUAACACGUGAGUACCUGCCCUUGACUUUGGGAUAACUUCAGGAAACUGGAGCUAAUACCGGAUAGGAGCUCCUGCUGCAUGGUGGGGGUUGGAAAGUUUCGGCGGUUGGGGAUGGACUCGCGGCUUAUCAGCUUGUUGGUGGGGUUGUGGCUUACCAAGGCUUUGACGGGUAGCCGGCCUGAGAGGGUGACCGGCCACAUUGGGACUGAGAUACGGCCCAGACUCCUACGGGAGGCAGCAGUGGGGAAUAUUGCACAAUGGGCGGAAGCCUGAUGCAGCAACGCCGCGUGCGGGAUGACGGCCUUCGGGUUGUAAACCGCUUUCGCCUGUGACGAAGCGUGAGUGACGGUAAUGGGUAAAGAAGCACCGGCUAACUACGUG
This 467-nucleotide ribosomal RNA is filed under the name uncultured bacterium. Its description in RNAcentral is "partial 16S ribosomal RNA". It matches the Rfam family "Bacterial small subunit ribosomal RNA", at positions 28 to 507 of the family's 1533-position model. The record is from RNAcentral.